This 321-nucleotide unclassified non-coding RNA is filed under the name Hevea brasiliensis (rubber tree). The record is from RNAcentral. Lineage: Eukaryota; Viridiplantae; Streptophyta; Magnoliopsida; Malpighiales; Euphorbiaceae.
AAUCUCUCCUGCUUCGGAAUGAGGCCGGCCUGCUCUUGGAGAAGACGAAACUCUUGGCGUUCCUUCUCCUCCUGGAUCUGCUUGCGGAGCUCGUCCAACUUCUUCUGCUCGGCCUCAUGCUUUUGCUCCGCCUUCCACACGUUCUCUAUGUUCCGAAGACUGCCAGUGUGCCAUCCUUUCUUGUUCAAGAACUUCAACGCCAUGUCUCUAGCCGAGUUUCAAAUUGGGGCUCAGAUUUUCAGCAACCGGCGCUGUGGUUUUGUGUGGAAGAAUCCGAUUUUCAGAUUGGGAAUCGGACUAUCGCCGCCGCCUCAGCUGCUA